UACAAACAACCUCAAGUUUAAUAACUAGAAUUACCUUUAAAGUAAUUUGUGUUGAUAACGUGUUGUAAAAUGGGAUAAAAACAACACAAAUAAAAGUAAAGACAACUAUAUAUUACUUUAACAAUAUAUAUAAUAGGGAGGAAGGAAUCAGAGACGAGAAAUGAGAGAGUUGAUAGAAUGAAAGAAAGAAAAAAAAUAAGAGAACGAGAGAAAGAGAUGUUACAUUAUGAUUAUUUAAUGUUUGUAUUUAUACCAAACCUCUGAACACUGUAAAUAUUUUCCUACCGUCCAACCUCUUGAAUUUAAUUCUCACUUGUCACAUGUAAAUACUUUGCCUAUAAAUUAGUGGUAAUAAAAGAAAAGAAGUGUGCCCGAGAAAGUGUGUGAAGGUGUGUGCAACAGUGUGUAAAGUUGUAUGUGAAAGAAAGCUGUAUCUUCAGCCUUGUACAUUUAUCAGCAAUCAAUAAGAAAGUAAGAAUUUUCUAUUAAAUUUCUACCUUCAUUUAGAAUUUAUUUUAUUAUGUAUUUUUCUUACCCUUAUGAGGUAAAAGGGGUAAAAAGGUAAAGUAGGUAAAUUAAAAUUAUUUGAAUUAUUUUUAAGUUUUCUUUACUAGUUAAUAUAUGUAAUAUACAUGAAUCCUUUUUAUAUAAUGUUCUCAUCAACAUAAAAAAAAAAAAAAAAAUCAGGUUAUUUAGAAAAUUUUGGGUGUAAAAUCAUGUUUUAAAAUUAGAGUCUUUAGUCUUAACCCUUGACCUGAAACCUGUUUUUGCAGGAAAAUUGGCGUGUUAGGGAGACUAUGUCUGGUCAGAAGGGGGGUAUUACCUUGACACGAAGUGAUGUUUUAAAAAUUUUGAAUUUUGUUACCUGAAUUUUUGAGAUAUCCGAUUUCAAAAACUUAACUUUUAUACAUUAAAUGGUUUCACACUAUAAGCACAGACGCUUAAGUUAAAUAUAUAUUAAAAUAAUAAUUGUUUGAAAAUAUUUAUAUUAUUUUAAUGAGUGUUUGAAAAUUUUAUAUUAAAAUAUUAAGUAUUUGGAAAUGUUUAUAUUAUUUUAAUGUUAGCAAUAAAUGUGUUCACACUUUAAUUCAAUAUAAAAGUUUCAUUAUUAACGGAGAUUUCAAAACCCCUAUUAUUACUUUGAUGAAAGUUUAAUGAAAGUUUUAUAUUGAAUUAAAGUGUGAACACAUUUAUUGCUAAUAUUAAAAUAAUAUAAACAUUUCCAAAUACUUAAUAUUUUAAUAUAAAAUUUUCAAACACUCAUUAAAAUAAUAUAAAUAUUUUCAGACAAUUAUUAUUUUAAUAUAUAUUUAACUUAAGCGUCAGUGCUUAUAGUGUGAAACCAUUUAAUGUAUAAAAGUUAAGUUUUUGAAAUCGGAUAUCUCAAAAAUUCAGGUAAUAAAAUUAAAAAAUUUUAAAACAUAACUUCGUGUCAAGGUAAUACCCCUCUUUUGACCAGACAGAGUCUCCCUAACACGCAAAUUUUUUGGCAAAAACGGGUUUCAGGUCAAGGGUUAAGACUAAAGACUCUAGUUUUAAAACAUGAUUUUACACCCAAAAUUUUCUAAAUAACUCGAUUUUUAUUUUUAUUUUUUAUUUUAUUUAUGUUGAUGAGAACAUUAUAUAAAAAGGACCCAUGUAUAUUACAUAUAUUAACUAGUAAAGAAAACUUAAAAAUAAUUCAAAUAAUUUUCAUUUCCCUACUUUACAUUUUUACCCCUUUUACCCCAUAAGGGUAAGGAAAAUACAUAAUAAAAUAAAUUCUAAAUGAAGGCAGAAAUUUAACAUAAAAUUCUUACUUUCUUAUUGAUUGUUGAUAAAUGUACAAGGCUGAAGAUACAACUUUCUUUCACAGAUAACUUUACACUGUUGCACACACCUUUGGACACACUUUCUCGGGCACACUUCUUUUCUUUUACUACCACUAAUUUAUAGGCAAAGUAUUUACAAGUGACAGGUGAGAAUUAAAUUCAAGUGGUUGGACGGUAGGAAAAUAUUUACGAUGUUCAGAGGUUUGGUAUAAAUAUAAAGAUGGUAAAAGUCUUCUGAGACUUUUGACUUUUGUUUAUUCAUCCGUUUAUCACUUUCUUCUCUUUCUCUUGUCCUUCUCUUCACAUGCAUAAUAUGUGGCUUGUGGAUGCCUUUACUGCUUCUGAACUUAUACUGCUACAUUGAAUUUUUGUAGUUGAAGACGCAUUUAUUGAUUCAUUCCCAAUUGGUGUCUUAGCUGAUUCAUGUCCUCUCAAUGGUCUCUGACAGUGGUGCCAUUUGAUUUGUGUCCAGCUGGUGUUCCUUGAUUGUGGUCCUCAGAAGGGAGUAAUCAACAAAAUUUAUAACCUAUAUCACAAUGCAUUAGGAUAGCCUUAGCUAAUAUAGCAUAGUGGCUCUAGGAUCGUUCACUGGGAAGGGUUUUCAACUUACAACUGAUAUCAAUUCAAAGUUGAAUUGGUGCUUUUUCAUUUCAAGGUUAGCUUAAGAAGAAAACAUAAACUUUGGUUGAAAAAAGUUUUGUUUUAAGCCAACUAAAAAGAAAGUAAUGGAAAUUACUUAUGAAGGAAAGCAUUCCUUGGAGUUUUAGGUUCACAGGGGAGGCUCCUCAUGCAAAAACAGAGCUCCGGUCACUUGAAUCUUUUCCUCGCAUUAGAGAAUUAACAUAUAGUUAAUUCUCUAACCGGUGUUGUACAAAUGUUUCCCUUUAAUGGAUUUCAGCACUAAUUCUCUCUCACUGAUGCAACUUGCAAUGGCUCGUGCCUCUCACCUAGCAUUUGCCAUUUAAGGUGAUCAUUAACCUUGGACUUUCCUUCUCAAGCUCGCAAGAGAUAACUAAUGGAUGUCUACUUGGAGUCCAAAAGCUUACCAAGUGUUGGCAAUUCUAGAAAAUCCUACCUUUAAGUCACCUCCCAAAAGCUCGCAAGAGAUAAACUAGUGCAUCUCCAUGGACGGAGAUCACUUGCAUUACCAAGUGUUGGCUCAGGUGAAUUGAAGGUGUUUUAAGUUAACUAAAAACAUAUAAAUCAUUAAUGAGUCACACUUUCUCUUCAUUAAUGGCUGAAACAACAAAAUUACCAAUUCUUGCAUUUGAGGCCUUACUUGGCAACCUUAGCUCCAAGGAACUAAAAGCCUAGCCACUCAUUCUCUGAGGAAACAUCCUCAGAGCUUGUUUGGCUAGUAAGAAAAAUUAAAUAAAUACAAUACAAUCAAAACGAGAAGGUAAGGCAGAGCAAAGGCUCUGUAUUUUACUUCCUUGCAAAACUGUACAAAGGAUGUCUGAGAACAAGCUCCUCGACCUCUCUCUGUAAUGAAAAUUACAAACAUUAUAUAAAAGGCUAUUUACCCUUUGUUCUUGCUUAAAGACUAAGGAAUCCUAUGAUAGGUGGAUUACAAGGAGAGUUUGGGGAUUUAGACAUCAAAUAUCUGAAGCAAAAAAUCUAAAAAAUGUUGGUCGCAAAUAUCGGGAGGCUUCAGGAGAAUUUCGUAGCCGUGCAAGAUGGCUGCAAAAUUUUGCAGCAUGAAGGACACCAUUUCGCAGCCAAAGGCUGAUUUCGCGGCCAUCCUCUUGUGAUUUCGCAGCCAAAGGCUGAAUUCUUAGCCCGUGAAAUUGGCCUUCAGCUUGGUGUGAUCGGCUUCCAAUGGUUGUAACUCCUUUAUUUCAACUUCGAAUCAUGCACCGUUUGAAGCGUUGGAUUGCUGACUUCCCGAGCUUCGAAACGACAUAGUAUGCAUAAUUUGAGCUCCAGGAAGUGCUCCAAAAGGGGCUGAAAGUUGCUAUCCUCUUGAAUACUUCAUGGUAGAUUUCUCUUUGCUGACAGUUGCUGUCCUCUUGAAUACUUCAUGGUAGAUUUCUCUUUGCUUCCCUUCCUUGCAUUCAUGAUUUGCUUAUGGCAAAUGGACUUUAAAGCUUCAAAGCUUUGGUUCUUCAUUUUUCUGAGCUUCCCAUUGCUUGGCCAUGGAUUCCAAAGAACUCUCCUCAAUCUCGGAUUGCUUUGGUGAUCAAAUUACUAACAAAAACACCAAAACUUACACAAUUUGAUUAGAAAUGAUCGCAAAUGUCCUUAAUAUGUUAAUUGAGUUAAAAGGUAAUAACUACUACUCAAAAGUGUUUAAAAGAGUUAAUUACAAGCUAUCAAAUAACACUUUUUGAGUAGUAAUCAUUUACCGCUUCAAUUUCGUCAUUGUUGACAUCAUCAUUCCAUUGCAUUUUUUAGAUUAUGAUAAUUUUCAUCGUCCAGGUUGUCCCAAAAUAAUGCGUCAUCGCUGAGGUAGGAAGAUGGUUCCGGUAUAUCUACACUGAGUUUGGUUAUAAAAUCCUGUUCUUCAGAAGUAAUAAAAGGUUUUGGAACAAUAAUGUGUUCUAAAGGUUUUACCCUCCAUAUAGACAUGGUUUUUGUUUCACCAAUGAGAUGAAAUAAUUUAUUCUGGGUUGGUUUAAGAUCACAGAUUUGAAAAGCUCUAAAGCGAAUAAAAAAUUCUAGAAAUUCAUUUGAAUGGGUCAUUUCCCAUUUUGGUUCUUGUUGAGGGAUGAGUGGUUCUUUAUUAUGUUUUAUAUAUACAUGAUGAUAGGCUAGUACUACUGAUCCAUCGGUUUGAAAUAAAGGUGGAAUGGUUUCAAAAGAAAUAUCUAUAUGUUUUUCGAUUUUAAAAAGAUAAGUUAAAAUAUCUUUCAAUUUUUUUUGGAAAAUUUCAGGGAUUUGAGAUAUAUGGUUCAUAAAAACAUUUUUUAAAAUUCCCUGAUCCAUGAGCUGCGGUACAAAAUAAAAGAUUUCUCUAUUUAUAACAGACAUAUUUACAUAAGCUAAAUAUAUAACAAAGAAAAAUUCAGGGUCAUGAUCUGCCAUAUACCUUGUUUUUAUCCCGACAUUUUUGGUUCUAAAAUGUUUAUACAAAAGUUUUUGAUUUUUAAACACUUUGUUAUAUUGAGUUUGUAGGAAAAAGGGUUUUGACUAAAGAGUAGUUAUCAACUCCAAUUAGGUUUUUAACAACAAGCUUUUCAUAUUGUUAAAUUAGAAGAGCUGAUUUCUUAAUUAGACUAAUUACUUGAGGUUGACUGUUCGAACAACUAGUUUGAUUGAUUGACAGUGUACUGGUUUUCAAAUCUUCUAUUAGUUUUUUUUUUGAAUUUCUUGGAUUUUGAGGUUUUGGAAUUUUUAGGUUUCUAAAGCAAUCAGUUGGUUAAAAAAUAAUUGAAAAUUUUCUAAGACUAAUAUUAUUGCUUUAAUUUCUAAGUUUGUAGAACUAAGGUUCUUUUGAUAAUCAUUAAAAGUUCCACUACAAUAUCUACAAAGUUUUUCUUCUCCUAUAUUAGUUAUUGCUAAAAGUAUACCUCCCCAUCCUGUUUGACUAGCAUCAGUUUGAACUAUUUUAUAUUCAUUUUCUAAGGGUAAAUGUAAGGUUGGGAGAUGUUUCACAAGUUCUUUUAUUUUCUGUAUAAGUUUAAUAUCUUCUUGGUUAAAAUAUCUCUGCCUUGUGUUUUUUGUUUUACUAUAAAGGGGUUUAGCUAAUCUACUAAGGUUUUUAAUACAUGGCCUAACAUAAUUUAAUAAUCUUAAAAAACUUUGAAGGGUUUUUAAGUCUUCGAGUUUAUCUGGAAAAUUAUUUAUUUUUUGUACUAUAUGUUCUUGCAAUUUUAUUUGUCUAUCCUCUAAUUCUAAUCCUAAAAAUUCUAUUUGAGUCUUAAAUAAUUUCAAUUUCUUUUUUAUUUACUAUUAAUCAAUGACUAAUUAGUUUUUCAAAAAUCAAUUCUAAAUGCUUUAUGUGUUCCUGAAGAGUAUAUAAAAAGACAAGAAUAUCAUCAAUAUAUACAAGAACAAAAGAAUAUUUACCAAAAAUAUUAUCUAUCAUUCGUUGGAAUAUCUAAGGAGCAUUUUUUUAGUCCAAAUGGCAUUACAUUCCAUUCAUAUAAUCCACAAGGACAUGAAAACGCUGUCCAUGGUUUACUAUCUUCUUCUAAUCUAAUUUGCCAAAAUCUACUUUUACAAUCUAACUGAGAAAAAUAUCUAUAUAAUGUGUAAAAACUAUAAAGAUGAGCAAAUAAUAGAGCAACUCUAUAAAACCAAUUUAAUUUAAAAAAUUAAAGAUAUAGAAACAAUAAAUCAAUUUACUAUUUAACCAAAAAUUAAAGAAAACGUAGAAAUAGUUUCAGAUGAGUCAGUAAAUACAAUAAAUGAAGAAAAACAAUUUGUAAAUGUAAAAAAUGAAAUAGUAAGGUAUAAUAAGCCGUACAAUAAGCCAAAACGGCCUAAAUGGAAAAAUAAAACAGAACCUUUUAGUUCUUUGUAACCAAUAUAUGAAUAUGAAACAAUAUUAGAUAUAGAUAGUGCACAAAAUCUUAGGAAAACUAUUGAAAAUUGGGAACAAUCUUUAAAUUCAGCAGGUAUAGUAGUAUCUUUUGAAAACCAACAAGAAAUUUAUGAUUUUGUAAAAGCACCCUUAGAGGAACCGUAUUACAAUUCUUUAGAAACAUGGAACAAGAAAACGGUAGCUAUUUUCAAGAAGUUAGAAAUAAUUUUAGCAUAUCUGUAUUUAUAAAUUUAAUAAAACUAUAUUUUUUAGGAACAACUCAAGAAGAUGUUAAAGAACCCACAAUAUAUCUCCAUAAGUUAGAACAAUUGAAGUUAUGUAACCUUUUGUAUAUAAGGGAAUAUGAACAAAAAUUUAGGAAAUAUGCAAUUCUUGCUAGAGUAGAUAAAACCCCUGAAUAUUUAAAUAAAUAUAUAUUAAAAAUACAAGGACCCAUAGGGCUUUGACUAUGUAAUGAAUUUACAACAUCCAAAUAUAAAAACUCUCCUUAUAUAGGUGCUAGAAUAGAAUUUGUAAAAGAUGUUUCACAAGUUCCUUUAUUUUUUGUACAAGUUUAAUAUCUUCUUGAUUAAAAUAUCUUUGCCAUUUGUUUUUUUGUUUUACUAUAAAGGGGUCCAACUAAUCUACUAAGGUUUUUAAUAUAUGGCCUAACAUAAUUUAAUAAUCCUAAAAAACUUUGAAGGGUUUUUAAGUCUUCGAGUUUAUUUGAAAAAUUAUUUAUUUUUUGUAAAACCUGAUUUUUCACCCAAAAUUUUCUAAAUAACCCGUUAUUUAUUUAUUUAUUUAUCUUGACAGGAAAAUUAUAUAUAAAAAGGAUCCGUGUAUAUUGCAGGUAUCAACUAGUAAAGAAAAACUGAAAAAUAAUUCAAAUAAUUUUCAUUUCCCUACUUUACCUUUUUACCCUUUUUACCCCCUAAGGGUAAGAAAAAUACACAAAAUAAAAUAAAUGCUAUAUGAAAGAAGAAAUUUAACAUAAAAUUCUUACUUUCUUAUUGUUGAUAAAUUUACAAGACUGGAGAUACAAAUGAUUGCUCCACUUGCUACUUUGCUCUCACUUUUUACACUCUUUUUUCUACACUCCUCCGGGCGCACCUUUCUUUCUUCUUCUACUACUAAUUUAUAGACAAACCAUUUACAAGUGACAGGUGAUAAUUAAUUCAAGUGGUUGGACGACAGGAAAAAUAUUUACAGGUUUGGUUAAUAAUAAGUACAAAGAUAAUAAAUACAAGGAUGGUAAAGUCAUUAUGAGGUUUUGACUUUUGGUUUUUCUUUAACCAUCCGUCUGAUACUUCUUCCACUUUCUCCUUGUCUUUUUCUUCUUAUUUCUGUCACAUACCGAAUACGUGGUUGUACAUGGCCUUCUUUUUGAACUUCUACUACUAUAUUAAAUUUUUGUAGUUGGAGACGCAUUUAUUGCUUCAUUGUUGUCAUUGCUGACAUCAUCCUUCCAUUGCAUUUUGCAGAUUAUGAUAACUUUCAUUGUCCAAAAAAAAUAAAAAAUCGGGUUAUUUAGAAAAUUUUGGGUGAAAAUUCAGGUUUUAAAACUAGAGUCUUUAGUGUUAACCCUUGACCUGUAACCCGUUUUUGUCGAAAAAUUGGCGUUUUAAGGAGACUCUGUCUGGUCAGAAGGAAGGUAUUACCUUGACACGAAGUGAUGUUUUAAAAUUUUGAUUUUUAUUACCUGAAUUUUUGAGAUAUCCGAUUUCAAAAACUUAACUUUUAUGCAUUAAAUGGUUUCAUACUAUAAACUGAGAGCUUUAGGUUAAAUAUAUAUAUUAGAAUAAUAAGUGUUUGAAAAUGUUUAUAUUAAAAUAAUAAGUGUUUGAAAUGUUUAUAUUAAAAUAAUAAGUAUUUGGAAAUGUUUAUAUUAAAAUAAUGAGGAUAAUAAAUGCAUUCACACUUUAAUUGAAUUUAAAACCUUCAUGAACGGAGAUUUCAAAACCCCUGCCAUUACCUUGACUGUGUGUCAACAACAAACUGUUGUUGAAACUGAUGUUGAUGGGAAAAGUUGGUAUUAGAGCUUCUCUAUGUAUUGCAGUAUAUUAAUUAGGAAAUGAGACUAUUGAUUCAAAUUAAUUUUCAGAGUACCGAACUAUCUUACCCCAUUAAAAGUCUAAUUAUAUUUGCUUGAUUUAUUCUGCAUCUUUAUUUAGUUUGCUUAUUUGAUAUGAAUUAAUGUCUUUUAUCCUUAUCCUCCUCGUAUAUAUAAUAUAGAUUAUGAUCGUGUAAAGGAACUUAAUAAUAGGUUGUAUGCUCAACGUAAAGAAUUUAGGGAAACUUGUGAUAAAUUGCAUAAUUUAAGAACUACUGUGAAAGAUUUAACCAAUGAUAUAAAAAACCUAACCUCUCUUAAAUAUUUGAACGAAUACGAAGUAGCUGUACAAGAAGCCUUUGAUGAACUUUUUGCUACAGAAACCCUAAUUAAAAGAGAAAUUAUAAAUUAUUAUAUUGAUAAUUUAUAUGCUAGUUCAUCUAAUUAGAAAAUAUUAAAAACUAAUGAACCCUCAUCUACAAACCCAAGAGGUAAAACAAUUAAAAUUUUUAGUAGAAACACAAUUAAAAAUAACAAAUGUAGUCUUACAAGAACAUAGGAAACAAAAUCAGGAAGAAAACAACACAGUCAAGGUAAUGGUAGAGGUUUUGAAAUCUCCAUUCAUGAAGGUUUUAAAUUCAAUUAGAGUGUGAAUGCAUUUAUUAUCCUCAUUACUUUAAUAUAAACAUUUCCAAAUACUUUUGAGAGCUUGCCCAACUAGGGUAGUUAGGAAUCAAUUUUACAUGAUGUAUUUUUAUUAUAAAUCAAUGAUAUUUUUUUUCUUCAAGUUUGUUUAUUUCACUAUUUUAAUUUAUAUAAUCAUCUUUGCAAAUAAAUUUCUUUUAUAAAUAAUUUUUUUAAGUAAAUAUAUUAAAGAUGGAAAAAUAUAAAGACAAAAUAGGAAAACAAAAUAUGAAAAAAGAUUAUUAUUUUUAAUGAUUUUAUCAUAAAAAGCUUUUUAGUUAUGUCAACCCUAAAACCAUGAAAGCCUCCCAUGAUUGGUUUCCUAAAAAAUUCAAAAGUUUCCCUAUUUAUAUGAAAGGGUUUCUAUAAAGCAAUUCAAAGAACUCAUCCAUGAAAAACUCAUUCUCCAUCUACUUAAAGUUAUCCAAUAUGGAAAGGAUUUCAAUUAUAAAAGCAUUUUUUAUAUUAUGUUUCAAUGUCAUUAAAUAAUGAAACCAAAAUAUAAACAUGUGAAAACCGAGGUACAAAACAAUGAGACAAAGGUACGUAGCAAUUAGACUUGUGUACAUAGCAAUGAGACCUAGGUAGAAAGUAAUGAGACCAAUGUACAAAUUAAUGAGAUCAUGGUAAUAAAUAAUGAGAACAAAGUACAAAGUUAUGAGACUAAUAGUACAAAGUAAUAGGUGUUAGGAUAAAACCCUUAAAAGUUUGACAUGAUAUAACAAAUUUAGAUUUAUUAUUUAUUUAAUAUGAUUAUGAUUUCUCUUUUAUCUUUUAUUCCAUCCACUAUACCUUAUGAGUAUUUUGGCCUGAUAUUUUUUGUAUUGUACAUGACUUGAGUACAUUAAAAGUUAUACAAAAGAUCCAAGUCAUUGGUUCCUUACAAAUAAAUAAUUUUUUCAUAAUUGGUCAAUGGACUUGGGUUAUCCAUUUGAUGUUGUAGUGCAUAACCUCCUAAUUGGAGGGGUGACUGAUCUUGGCCACCAAGAUGAGGUUAUCAUGGUGCAUGUACUAGUGUGUCUGGUUACAUAUUAGAUAGGACCUAUGAUGAGUUGUUAUCAUAUAGUCAUGACUUCACAAAGUUGUUAUACUGUGUGGUCUCUCAACCACAAGAGAAUAUUAAGCUUGUGUUGCCAAAGUUUGUAGUGGCUUUAACCACUGUUAAGAUCCUAAGGUGAUAAUAUAUUCUUUAUGAAUUUGGUCACUGUUAAUGGACAUCGUUAGAAUUAGGUAUUCUCUAUUAGAAAAUUAACUAAUCUAACCUAAGGUAAUCACCCUAGAGGGAGGUUGAAUAGGGUGAUGGUCUCUUUUUGAAAAUUUAAACUAUGUGAAUAUAAAAGAAAAUUAUAUGCAAGUAUAUAACAAAUGCAAUGAAAAAACAAUUGCAUGUAUAUUAAAAAGAUUAGGGAAGAGAGAAUUCAAAUACAAUAUUUUUAUAGUGGUUCGAUGGAACCCGACUUACGUCCACUCUCUUCUAGCUUCAAUCCUAAGCUUGAGGUUCCAUUGAUUCAAGGCUUCCAAACCAAGCAUUUAAGCAAUAGAAUUGGAUUAUGGUUCCAAUCAACCCUCUUGGACUUUUGGUUCCAAGCACCCUUUACAAUCCUCAAGUGCUAUCUCACUUUUGAAAAAUCUCCCAAGUGAUACUCCACACUUGGGAAUCCCUAUCACACUUAGAUUUUUCCUCUCAAAGAUUUAUAAAUCAGAAUAGAAAAUAUUCUCACAAAAUCCUAGUACAAAAUUUAGGUUCAAUGAUACAAGAUAAAUUAGGAUUGAAUGAUACACUAAUGAUAUGCAAGUUUUAGAACAAGGUGCACCAAAAAAGACUCUCCCAAGGCUCAAAUAUAUUAAAUAAAGGUUUAAGAAGGUUAAGCUAUUUGAAACAAUGAAAGUUGGAGCCUUUAAAUAGGGAAGUGAAGCCUAAACUAGUGUUAAACACAUUUAGGGGUAAACUAGUCGAGCACCAAUUCGAUUGAUUUAUUAGUUGUUAGCAUUUAAUGCUCAGACAGGUGACUAUUGGGCUUUUUGAGGUUCAACUAGACCUAGGCCGAACCUAGAUUGAGAGAGCAACCCUUUUGGAAGAGAGAAAACAUUUUUCACUCCUUGACUGGUCCUUAAUUAGGAAAGGGUAAUCGAUUGAUUGAUUCCCCAACUGGUUGAGUUGAUUUAGUCCACCCUUGAUCGGUCAUACCUUGUUUGGCUCAACAACAAACUUUUUUAACCUAAAAUAUUUUAAUCAAAUUUUAGAAGACAUUUAAUACAAGGUUUUAGUUGAGAACAAGAACCUCUCUCUGUUUCAACUUUUUUUUUCCUUCCUCCCUCACCUAGAUAUCUCCCAUACUCUAAAUCCCUCCACACCCUCUACAACUCCUCACGUUUUCCUUUUUUCUCAAGCUUCUACCAACUCCCCUACUCUUGGUUCAUCGAAAACGUCACCACCAACUCCACUACUUCAACCACCACCAUGGCAAGGUGGUCACAUCCUUCGCCACAUGUCCCAUGUAGCCCACCUAGAAGCCGUCUCCCACUCUAAAUGAAAAGUUUAGCCAGUGUCUCCGGGUGUGAGAAAAAUCUCUUAGUCCAAGAGGAGUUUACAAAUAUGCCCCUCUUUGGUAGAGUUCACAAGUGUAAGGAAUAUGAAUACUAGAGUGAAAAAAAAGUGUAAAUAGUGAGUGGAAAAAAGUGAACUCUACCGAAGAAAAAGAAAGACCCCCAAAAGUACACAAGUAGAACACAAACUCACUCAAACCAAUAAAGAACAAAAGGGACUCUAAAAUCCUAAGAGAAGGGUAGCUCUCAGAAUGCCUCUAAAGUUAAGCUAUGCAUCCAAACUCUCUUUAAGAUGUCUCUAAAAAUGACUCGAAAAACAAAGUCAAAGUUGAGUAGCAGUUGAACCACCUAGGAGCAUAUGAACAAACGCAUACAAAGGGAAAACCACACAUCUACUAUACGAAAUAGGAUGGAAUAUGAAGUUGUGAGGACAAAGUGUACAAAGAUUAGAGUCACCCAAAUUUAAAGGAAAUGAUGGGACGCGGUCGUAAUGAUCAGAAUCACCAAACCCAAGGAAAGAUCGGACGUAGUCGCCAUGAUUGAAAACACUUAAAACAGAUAGAAUGCGGUUGCUAUGACCGAAAUCACCAAAAAACAGACGGGACGCGGUCUCAAUGACUCAAACUGAAUUGACAUGACAAUGAUUGAUCGAUAUAGGUGCGGCCCAAAAAAACUCAAAUUGAACUGACAUGACAAUGAUCGAUCGAUAUAGGUGUGGUCCUGAAAAACUCAACCUGAACUAACAAGAUGAAUGAUCGAUCGAUAUAGGUACGGUCCUAAAAUUUGAACUAGCAAGAUGAAUGAUCAAUCGAUAUAAGUGUGGUCCUAAAAACUCAAACUGAACACAAACUGACGGGAAGAUGGCUGAUCGAUAUAGGUGCGGUCCCGAAAACUGAACUGACAAGAUGAAUGACCGAUCAAUAUAGGUACGGUCCCAAAAACUGAACUGACAUGGAAAUGAUCGAUCAAUAUAGGUGCGAUCUCGGAAACUGAAUUGACAAGAUGAAUGACCGAUCAAUAUAGGUGCAGUCCCAAAAAUUGAACCGACAAGAUGAAUGACCAAUCGAUAUUGGUGCGGUCCCAAAAACUAAAACUAAACACAAAUUGACAGGAAGAUGGCCAAUCGAUAUAGGUGCGUCCCAAAAAACUCAAACUCAAACUGAUAAGAUAAUGAUCGAUAGAUAUAGGUACAAUCCCAACUCGAAUUGAACACAAACUGACAAGAAGAUGGUCGAUCGAUAUAAGUACGGCCACAAAAACUCAAACUCAAAUCAACAAGAUGAUGACUGAUCGAUAUAGGUGCGGUUCCAACUCAAAUUGAACACAAAUUGACAGGGAGAUGACUGAUCAAUAUAGGUGCGGCCUUAGAAACUGAAAUCUAACACAAGAUGGUAGGAAGACGGCUGAUCGAUAUGGGUGUGACCCCAAAACUCUAAACUCAAACUGACAAGAUGAUGACUAAUCGAUAUAACUGUGGUCUCAACUCGAACUGAAUACAAACUGAUAGGAAGAUGAUUGAUUGAUAUAGGUGCAACCCUAGAAACUGAAAUCUAACACAAGAUGAUAGGAAGAUGACCGAUUGACAUAGGUACAGCCUCAAAACUCUAAACUUAAACUAACAAGAUGACCGAUUGAUACAGGUGUGGUCCCAGAAAUUGAAAUCUAACACAAGAUGAUAGGAAGAUGGCCGAUCGAUAUAGGUGCGACCCCAAAACUCUAAACUCAAAUUGACAAGACGAUGACCGAUCGAUAUAAGUGCGGUCCCAACUUUAACUGAACACAAACUGAUAGGAAGAUGACCAAUUGAUAUAGGUGCGACCCCAAAAACCUAAACUCAAAUUGACAAGAUGAUGACCAAUCGAUAUAGGUGUGGUUCCAACUCGAACUGAACACAAACUUAUAGGAAGAUGACCGAUUGAUAUAGGUACGAUCCCAAAAACCCAAAUUGAACUGACAAGAUGAAUGACUGAUUAAUAUAGGUGCGGUCCCAACUCGAACUGAACACAAAUUGACAAGAAGAUGAUCGAUUGAUAUAGGUGCCCCAAAAACCCAAACUUAAACUAACAAGAUAAUGACCGAUCAAUAUAGGUGCGACCUUAACUCGAAAACUCAAACUCAAACUGACAAGACAAUGAUUGAUCGAUAUAGGUGCAACCUUAACUCGAAAACUCAAAACUCAAACUGACAUGACAAUGAUCGAUCGAUAUAGGUGCGGUCCCAAAAACCCAAACUCAAACUAACAAGAUGAUAACCGAUCGAUAUAGAUAUGGUCCUAACUUAAACUGAACACCAAUUGAUAGGAAGAGGACCGAUUGAUAUAAGUGCGGUCCUAAAAACUGAACUAACAAGAUAAUGAUAUGAUCAAGUGGCUUAAAGCCAAAUGAUAACUAAGAUAACGAUGCAAGCAAACUCGACAGGAGAGGAUAUGCCCCAGUAUGACAACUAAUAAGGAUCGACAACUAGGUCAAAAGAUAAUGAAACCUAUGAAAGAUUCGUUGAUCCCAUGGAAGGAGGGUAUGCCCCAAUAUGUAAUUCGCAGGGGUCAACAACUAGAUCAAAAGGUGAAUAAAAGUCUGCUGAAAGGUCUAGUGUUGUCGGAAAAGGGGGUAUGCCCCAGAAUGUGACGGUGAACAAACUGAAAUAUGAAAUGCCACAAAACUACUAAACUCUGAAAUAUGCUCAUCCAUCAUGUAAUGAAAAUGUCUAACCUCAAAUAGGUAAUGCCAGACAAGACCAUGCAUCAUGAUACCAUGCUAACAAAACAGAACUAACUGAUUAAUAAAAACAAUGAUGACCAGUGCUCAAAAUGCAAAGAGCAAGUAAAUCAACACUCAGCAUGCCAAAUGUCAAAAUGAAAGCAUCAUCACCAAUAAAUCAAUAAUCUGUCAGGCCUUGCUAUCAUGGAAGAUGUUGAACCUAAAGUCCAAAAGAUGUAUGAAAGCACAACCAAAGAAAUCGAGGAUUGAUCUACAUCUUCUCCUAAUCGAGAGAGGGGUGUGAGGUCAUGUGUCACUGUGAGAUGUGUGGGAUGGAAGGAAAUGAUCAGACUUUGGUAGGAUAGAUAUAAGUAUGAAAAUAUCACAGGUGGAAUGUUUGAGUAUGAAAUGAAAGAUAGGUAGGUAUUGGCGAUCAUCCAAGUAUGCUGAGAAGACUAAACCUAAGGUGUCAAUAACUUCAUAAUCCAUCGAAAGCAACAAUCAUAAUCAAGAGGUCAAGUCUCGAUGUCAAAACAUCCAACAAAGUGGCUAUUCCCCAGUAUGCAAUGAGGAUAACAUGAAAUAAUCCAAUGAUCUCCGUAUCACUCGUCAAAUACUCUAGCAUAAAGAAUCAAUCAAAUCUCCCUCCAAAAGAUGGAUAUGCCCCAGUGUAGAUGAUCCAAUAAGGUGGCUACGUUCCAGCAAAAAACACUCUCCAUCAUGGCUGUGCUCCAGUAUAAAGUAGUGUAUCCAAGCCAACAAUUGCUGAGAGACCAUGCUUAGUGUACAUCAACAAAUCAAUCAAUCAAUCUCAAUUCCCACUGUUGAAAAUGAAAAUAUCUCAACAUGAUCCAUAUGAAUCAGAAUCCCCGUGCUCUAUGAGUGCGAAUGAAGUGGCCACUCCUCAGUAUAAACCAUCUGAAGUGACUAUGCUCCAAGAUAAAUCAAAGUUCAUCGUUAAUGAGAGGGCUAUGUCUCAGUAUGUGUCCUCAGAACAAGGCCAAUCUCAUCCUUCAAUGCUGAAAAUGAAAAUACCAAUAUAAUGUCAACAAACCCUAAUCACCCUAUGCUUCACAAGAAACAAUAAAGUGGCUAUGUCUACCAUGCACAAUCUUUGAAGCAAUUAUGCCUCAAAAUAAACCAUCUCAAAAAUCAACCAUCGAUGAAUGGAGCGUGUCCCAAUGUAGAAUAUCGAGUAGAGUGAUUAUAUCUCCAAUAAAAGUGCUCUUUGAAAUGGCUAUGCUCCAGUGUAGGGUCAUCCCACAACUCCUAAUCCAUCAUAACCCAAGUGAAGAGGAAAACUGGUUAUGCCCCAGUGUAAGGCAUCAUCCCAAUAAUCCAUCAUCAAUAAGAAAACUAUGCCUCAAUAUACGUCAUCAACUCAAAAAUCUAUCAUCGAUGAGCAGGGUAUGCCCCAGUGUAUAUCACAUCAUCUCAUAAAAUCCAUCACUGAUAAGAAGGGUAUGCCCCAAUGUAAUCCAUCGCAUCAAUUCCCCAUUCAUCAUGCUCCAAGAAAUAAUCUCCAACCAAUCUCAAGUAUUGCCUAUGUGUGAGCCGUCAAGCACUAUAUGUGAGGUCAUGGCCUCAGGGUGUUCUUAAGACAUGGGACGUAACAUAGACUAAGGUCUUAGGGUGAAAUCAACGAAAGGAAACUAGGCUUAAUAAUCCCAAUGAUAUAAUCCCCAUACCCCUCAUGCAUGAGAUGCAAUGCGUAGAAAAUAUCAUGAGUCGUGGGCCUAAGGAUCCCCACACAAAAAGUGAUGAUAAAGGAAUGAACAUAUCGAAUAAGCAAGAAUAAAGUGUGGAUGUUGAACCCAAGUCAAACAUCAAACAGGAUGAGAAAAUAAAGAAAUCAGAUGAGGUAGAGUGAAAUGGAGGAAUAAAAUAAAUAUAGGAGAAGACAAAAAGAUAGGAAAGUGAGUGAUGGUCAACCUACAUUAAGGCAUGGAGAUAACUCACAUAAAAAAGGAUGUAAUGACAAAUAGGGCGAGAAUCCAAAAAUCCUAAAGAAAUGUUGGUUUGCCUCUUAUAAAAAUCAAAUAGGCAACUCAUACUCUCACCCAAAAUAUAUACUAAGAUAGAAUCUCAUAAAUAAGCUCCUAUACGAACUCUCUCUAACACAUAAACUUAAUGAAGCAAACUAGCACAUCCAUACACGUGCUCAAUGGAGAAUGAUACAAUGAAGAAUACACUAUUUUUUUAUCUCUUAGGUUUUUUUUUUUUUUGUUUUUUUUUUUCACAUACUCUGAUCAAUAAUGAAUGACCUCCCAUGAAAAUACAUACCCAAAAGAUCAAACCCUCUCCACAUACAGAUGUAACAUGAAUCCUCACUAACAAGACAACCUCUCAAAUUGAGAUCUUUGAACCACUGCCCAUGGGGUGAAUGGGGGGAAAAAUGUGAAAAUCCUCCAUGCAGUGACGUGUGAAAAACCAUCACUCAAGGUGAAACAAGGAUAAUGUCAAGCAAUGAUGAGAGAAAAGACAGAGAACAAAUAUCACAAGUGGUGAUAUAUGAUGCCAAAAAAAGUGAUAAGAUGAUGUCAUAGUGGAAAAUAUCAUAAUGAAGAGUGAGAGAUGAGGCUUGAAUAUGUUUGUCAGGUCUAGAACUCAUGACAUAUCUAAUUAAAGCAUGCAAGCACUAUAGGGUCCCCAACUUGGUGUAAUGGGUAAAUGAGGUGAUGAAAUAAAAGGUUAUGGUGCUCGUGUGAGGCUCAAAGGGCUAGCAAUGGGUAACUCUAUAUGCAAGGGUGAUAUGGUAAAUAAGCUCUUGAAAUGAUGGCCACCCAUCCUUUGACCACAACCUCGAACAUUGUGCUUUCAAGAUCUCACAUGGCCAAUACUAAAGACUAGCAUCCGUCCAACAUAGUCAUGUCAACAUCUCUGAAAUCGUGUGAAAGCUCCUUCUGAUGCUCUAUGAUAAUCAUCAAUGUCUUCCGACAAUCACCUCACUUUAUCAUCAUAAGCCACUCACCAUUGUCUCAUAAAAUCACCAUCUCUAGUCAUCCUAACUCUCUGAAGUCAUGUGCAAUGGCUCAGAUCUGGAUGCUCUAUGACAAUCCCUCUGCCUCAACAAUAUCAUCAAACAGUCAAACCACCUUCUCANNNNNNNNNNNNNNNNNNNNNNNNNNNNNNNNNNNNNNNNNNNNNNNNNNNNNNNNNNNNNNNNNNNNNNNNNNNNNNNNNNNNNNNNNNNNNNNNNNNNNNNNNNNNNNNNNNNNNNNNNNNNNNNNNNNNNNNNNNNNNNNNNNNNNNNNNNNNNNNNNNNNNNNNNNNNNNNNNNNNNNNNNNNNNNNNNNNNNNNNNNNNNNNNNNNNNNNNNNNNNNNNNNNNNNNNNNNNNNNNNNNNNNNNNNNNNNNNNNNNNNNNNNNNNNNNNNNNNNNNNNNNNNNNNNNNNNNNNNNNNNNNNNNNNNNNNNNNNNNNNNNNNNNNNNNNNNNNNNNNNNNNNNNNNNNNNNNNNNNNNNNNNNNNNNNNNNNNNNNNNNNNNNNNNNNNNNNNNNNNNNNNNNNNNNNNNNNNNNNNNNNNNNNNNNNNNNNNNNNNNNNNNNNNNNNNNNNNNNNNNNNNNNNNNNNNNNNNNNNNNNNNNNNNNNNNNNNNNNNNNNNNNNNNNNNNNNNNNNNNNNNNNNNNNNNNNNNNNNNNNNNNNNNNNNNNNNNNNNNNNNNNNNNNNNNNNNGUACCAAAGGGUGGUGUCAUGUUAAGCUCAAAAUGGAUAGGUCAUCAAGUUUACAAAGUCAAGAUAUGGAUAUGGAUAUGACACUGCUCUGAUUAGAAGGUGAAAUGGGUCACAGUCUUGAAUUCUCUAGGUCGAUCUUAUGAUCCUAGGUCAAUAGGCUCAAUAUCCUCCAUGAUAGGUCAAGAAAAAGUGAUCACGAUGUAUAAGUGAAAAGAUCUCUCAUAUCGAAAGCAUAAUACAUAUCAAGGCAAGAUAUGUAAAGCAUACUCAUGAGAAAGAGAAUAACACAUAUUUAGAAUAAAAAGAUCAUAUCACUAAAUGAACCAACGAGUACAUCAUGUGUGAAGCGGUAAAGGACUACAAACGAACUGCACUCUCAACAUGAACUAUAAACAAUGACUCUGAACCAAACUGGACUCAACAAAACAAAAAUAACUUUGAUGAACUAAAAACUGGACUCGACAAAAUAGAAAUGACUUUGAUGACGAUCGUAAUCAAAAUGAAAAGUGCUCUGAGCUAAACUGCUACAAAGUGAUGUACCCAUGUCGACUGAACCAAGUCCUCAACCCGGAAUAUCCCAAAAUACCAUAUGACCAUCAUUAUCAUCAACGUCCAAAUCAAUCUAUUGAAGACUAGGAAGAUGAGAAAUUGCAUGUGUAGAAUGCGUAAGUAGGGGAUUGGUGGUCACACUUGGCCCAAACAAGUUGACCAACCCUAAAUCAAUCAAGUCCUGUAUCGCAUGAUGGAGCGCUGCACAACGCUUAGUAUCAUGCCCCUGAAUCUGAUGAUCUAAGCAAUGCUCAUGAAAGCGGAAAUGAUGAGGAAUAGGAUGUGGCAAGGGGUGUGGUGCCAAAGGAACAAUCAAACCAGCAUAUUUGAGCUUCUCAAAAGCUUUAGUCAAAGUCAUGCCCAAUGGAGUGAACUGUCUCGCAGGCCUCUAUGCAUAUGGUUUAGGCGGUGGGAAAGCAGUGGCUCUCAAAUGUAGUGGUCGUGGCUGCAAGCUAGUUUGAGCAAUGUAAGACUGCUAAACAUAAACUGGAUGAUACUGAUACUGUGGAUGAGAUAAAUGAGCUCUGACUAUAGGAGACCUGUAAGGUGAGUGAUGUGCGGGCCUUUGAUGUUGAUAGUUAAUAGUGUCAACCUCUCCAGAUCUACUAGAUGAUCCAACCGGCUUCUUCCCCUUACUGUCAGGGGAAGGAGCAGUAUCUGUCCAUAAUCCUCGAGCAAUGACCUCCUUAACACUGAAAGUUGCAUGAACUAGACUCUUAAGAUCCUGAAAUGGAAUGCCCACAAGGUGUCUAGCAAACCGCGACUGUAGGUUCCAAAGAACCAUAUCAAUCUGAUCUUGCUCUUUAGGCCGGUUUAUCAUACCAGCCAUCGUUACCCUCCAACGAAUGACAAAGGAAGAAAUAGACUUGUCUAGCUUCUAUCUGGUGGCCUCCAACUCUCGUUUAGAUACAUCAAUGUCAGCAUUGAAAGCAAACUGAGUCAGAAACUCAUGAGCCACAUCCUCUCAGGUGUGAAGUCUCAAAGGCUCAACUAAAGCAAACUAUCUCUAAGCUACCCCACUAAGUGACAUAGGGAAAAGGGCCACCAACUGUGCAUAUUUCAUGUGCUCUUAUAACUGUGUUUUAUAGUCUCAAGUGGAUCUUAGGACAACCAAUCCCACUAUAAUGCUCAAUGUUUGGCAUGCAAAACUUGGCAGGCAAGCUAGCAGUCAAUAUGCCAUCUCUAUCAUCCCAAGUCAAACCUCUAUCCUAUAAUCCGAUUUGUCUCAUCUUGGACUCAAGCCUCUUAACCUUGGCCUCUUGCUCAGCCAAUCUAGUAUCAUCAGUAAUAGUAACAAUGGGAGGUGUCACUGUGGUAGCAAGUGGUGGAGCAGUCUCAUAAUGAUUUGAUAGAUGGAAUGGAAUGCCAUGUAAAGUCCCAAGUAGAAGAACCUGCACUGUCUGAGAUGCAUGGGGAAUUGUCUCGUUAGUGCUAAUGCCAACCAGAUGAUGAUCCUGGCAAGAACUCUCUAUCUGAUCCAAAUUUCUAUUGACCCUUGCUAUGAACUCCUAAAUAAAAGCAAGUGUAGAAGAUAGCUCAUCUGGCAUCUUAUCUAAACUGUUUAAACUUUGAUGUGAAUCUACUCUGACCAAUCGACCUCCAACUCUUCUCCAAGAAUGUGACUCCAGACACAACCAAUUCCUAAACUGACUCCCUAUAAUGCAAACGAAAUUGAUGAAGGACACAAGAUAGAACCCUAAAAGACAACCAUACAACAUGCAAACACAUGGUCCUAAGGUGGCAAUCCGAAAUCUGGAUGUAUAAUGAGAACUCUGGAGUCAUAAAGGUGUUCAUUAUGAUAUGACUACAGAUGUGACUAGAGAAUUUGUAUCAAUAAUCCAAGAUGAAAGAGGUGUGAGAAACACACUAUCACGAGAUUGAUACUCCAUCUAUAAACACAUAUCUUUAGCUCAACCUUCAACUCGAGCUCCAUGAAGAGAAAAGAUGAUAAGGUGAUCAAGGUGAAUCUCUUGAAAAAAGUGUAAAUGUGAAAACCCUUUCACCUUUCUAUAAUGAAAAUAUAAGCAUCAAGUCGAAAAUUGAAUCAAGGAUUGUAUAAAGAAUGGGGUAUUGGGCCCUUGAUAAGUGUACAAUGUAAAAAGAUGAUCAUGAUCAAUGAACAUAUCCCAAUGCAUCAAGUAAAGGACAACCAACUGAAAGGACAUGUCAAGCCAAGAAAGUAAGAUGAAAACCCUAGGGAGAAAAACAUGUUAAACUCAACGAGAAACUAGAAGGAGUCAAUACUACAUCUCUAAGCACUUUCAAUUGGAGACCAAAAGAGAGAGUAUUGGAUCCGAACUGUAACUAAAGAGGCUCUGAAGGCCCUUAAAUGUACCCACGUGUAGAAUAGAAGUCCUAGUCGAAAUAUCUAAGGCUCAACCUACAAGGUCAAGGUGGCUCUAAAAGGGAAAGAACGGACUUUAAAAGAUCCCUAGCAGAAGCUAUCAUACCUUCCGAUGGUAUGCCAUCCUUUACACGCCUCCGAAGAGACCCCACUUCCAUGCAAGGUGGUCAUCACCUUCACACAUGCACUACCUCGACAUCUCAAGGGGUUUUCUAUAGUGAAAACUCUCACAACUCUCAGCACUCAAUAGUCAACUAAAGUCCACAGUGAGUGGUGUGGGUGCAUCUAAAGAUCCUAUAAAGCUAAAAUGGAAAAAGAAACACAUUGGUCACACAAAUAUCCAUGAAACCUAGCUCUGAGCUAUACAGGUCUUUAGAGAUCGGACUCCAAUCAGCAUCAAUAUGUCGACCUCCUCCAAAAUGCUCCCAAACAUCGAUAUAGUCCAUCACUAGACCUUAGUCCAAAUCACUAGCUUGGUCGGAGAGCAAAUAAAGCAGCAAGUCUCAUAUCAAAUACGAGAGCAAGAAAAACUAGUUCGACUGAGACUAAGGAAUUGGAAAUAAGGGGAUAAGUGUGAGACCUUCACAGACAAGCAACACAUGCAUCAUGCAAAAGAAGAGAGGUCAUGUAACAAGCAGUCAAGAAAACCACAGGUAUAUCAUCUAAAUCUACACACAAGCUAAGCAAGAAAUAUGAUAAUCAUGAUGUAUAUCUAGUAAGGAUAGCAUGCUUCAUGAUAAUCAUGAUAAUAUACAACUAAGAGAAUCAAUCAUGUCAAGAUGAACGAGAUAAGCAACAAGAAGAAUGUACACGUCAAGGUGAGCAGAGUAGUCAUAUAGCAAGAGAAUCAAUAUGCUAAGACAAUAAAGAGAAUCAAUCAAUGUCAUUAGCAUGUUAAUGUCCCAAAUGAAUAUGGUAGUCAAGCAGAGGAAAUCAUCACAUCAAACUCUUAGUGUGCAAUGAACACUCAAUCAUAGAAAAACACAAAGGGAAGAUAUCCAUCAACCAACUAAUCAAAUGCCACAUUUGCCUCAUCUUAAGUUCAAGUUUGACCCUCUAGUGAUCCCCAAUGGAGUCACCAUUUUGUGGACCUCGCAUUUCGCUCAAUGCGUUCCCAAUCGAUGGCAAAACUCAUUUUUUUUUUUAAUUUAUUUGGUGAAAAUUUGAUUUUUAGAAAAGAUUGGGAGUCGCCACUUAUUUUUGUUUAUUUUUUUUAAGGGAAAACAACAUAAGAAAGAAAACUCUAAGUGUGACUCUUUAUUUAGAAAAGACAGUCUACGAAAAACUAAACCUAGGUUCGGGGGUCAGGUUGUUUAUUGGGAAGAUACGGUAAAGACCGUAGCAUUCCUCUAAGACCUUAAAAACGGGUCUCUACUAAAGAAAGUGAACCAAGUGUGACAAUUAACUAGGAGAUCAAUGGAUACCAAAAUGAUCAUAGAUCAAAAGCAAGUCAAGAUAACGAAUAAAAAAAAAAUGAGAGUGAGAGCGUACCUUGACAGCAGGUAAUAAAGCGCUAUCAUGAAAUAGAGUUAGUGCGCAAUAAUAAGUGUAAAAUGUCUCAUACAAAAUCAAUCAAAAUCAAACAAUAUCAAUCAUGCAAUUCACUUGAAUUAUUUUAGAAAGAAAUGUUAUGAAUGUUGGGUUCCCACCAAAGCCCAAUUGAUUUUGCAUGAAUUAAUUCCACAAAUUCCAUUGUUUUGAAAUUAUAAAAAUUGCAUUCAUGCUUAUUAAAAAUCAAGGAAAAUGAAAAACUAUUUUAAAAUCAAAGAAAAUUUGUGAAAGUGCUUACCUGAAAAGAAAGGUAGCAAAUUUAUUUAAAAACAAGAUUUUUAGUGACUUAAAACCCUAAUGAAGAAUGAAAAGUUAUAAAAUUAAAAAUAUUUGAAAACUAGAAUGGAAUUAAAAUUAUUUGAAAGAAAACUAGACUGUUGAAAAUUGAAAUCUUGAAAAUUAAAUUUAAAAAUUGGAAUUUUGAAAAAAAUAAUUGAAAAUGGGAGUUUUGAAAAUGGGAAUUUUGGAAAAUUAUUUGAAAAUGGAAGUUUUGAAAAUUAUUUGAAAAUUAAAAUUUUGGAAAAUUAUUUGAAAAUGAAAAUUUUGAAAAUUGAAAUUUUGGAGAAUUAUUUAUGAAUGGGAGUUUUGAAAAUUGAAAUUUUGGACAAUUAUUUAUGAAUGAGAGUUUUGAAAAUUAAAUUUGAAAAUUGAAGUUUUGAAAAUUAGUUUUAAGAAUUUGAGUUUUGAAAGGAAUAAGAGUUUUGAAAAUUAAUUGAAAAUUGGAGUUUUAAAAAAUUAAAUUUAAGAAUUGGAGUUUUGGAAAUUAUUUGAGAAUUGGUAUUUUGAAAAUUAAAUUUAAGAAUUGGAGUUUUGAAAAUUAAUUUUGAAAGAAAUUAGAGUUUUGGAAAUUAGAGUUUAAAAAAUUAUUUGAAAAUUGAUAUUUGGAAAUUGGAAUUUUGAAAAAUUAUUUGAAAAUGAAAGUUUUGAAAAUUAAAUCUUGGAGAAUUAUUUGAGAACGGGAUUUCUUAAAAAUUAAAUUUGGAAAUUGGAAUUUUGAAAAUUAUUUGAAAAUGAAAAUUUUGAAAAUUGGAAUUUUGAAUAAUUAAAUUUAGAAAUUGAAGUUUUGAAAAUUAAAGUUUUGAGGAUUAAAUUUGAAAAAUUGGAAAUUUGAAAAUUAUUUGAAAAUUAAAGUUUUGAAAAUUAAGUUUGAAAAUUGGAGUUUUGAAAAAUUAUUUGGAAAUGGAAGUUUUGAAAAUGAGAAUUUUGGAAAAUUAAACUUUGAUAUCAAAAUAUGAAGAAAUAAAUAAAUAAAUAAAUAAAUAAUAAUAAAAAGAGUUGUGGUAGUUAGGAUUGCAGGCCAAAGGUGGUCGUGCAUGACUGUGGGCCCAAGCCGGGGUGCAAAGGUCAAAUACUUAUUUAAAGAAGGAAAACCCAUUUCCAUUUUACACAUGUUGUCCCCAUUUUUGACAUACCUAUGAGGAAUAUUAGUAACAACAAGUCUAGCCUGGUGCGCCAAAAAUUGGCUUAUCUGCUACAAUGUAGGGCCUUGAACUGGGGCGCAUGAAAACAUCGCUUUGAUAAGGUUUUUUGCCACCUCUUCCUCUUCUCCUCCCUCUGUUUUUUUUUUAUGAAGGCAAAGUUUGGUUGUGAGGUUUGGCGUUCUGAGGUUCAUAGGAUGGGUGGCAUUUCCCAUUUUGAGUAUUUUAUUUAUUUAUUUUUUUUGGGAGGGGGGGGCUUUUGAACUGGGUAGAGCUGGCAGACCAAGGUUGCCAUGAGGUGGAGGUUGGAAAGUUUGGUGGAUGAUUGGUUUGAGAGUUGGGUUUGGUGGGUGUGAAAGAUGGUAGUGAGUAUGAUAUAUGAGAUGAGCUGAACGGGUGAGUGUGAUGUGGUGAUCGGGUUAUGAUAGGAUGAUAGGGGUUGAUAGCUUUGAAGAGAGUUUGAAUGGCCAUGUAUGGCCAAGCAGAGAUGGGAAGGAUGAUGGGUAUGGUGGGUAUGAAACGAGUGGGGUAAGGUUUGGAGAGAUGAGAGUAUCCAUGUGCAUAUAGUAUUGUGUUAUCCAUUCUUUCAAUGUUGUAAAAGUGCAAUCUUUUCAAAAAGGCCCCAUCUACAACAUUAUCCCCACUAAGAGCAGUUAAGUAGGAUCUGGAAAGAGUAGAUGAUUCCUUUCCAUGUCUAGAUCUUUUAACGUUCCAUGAAUACCCAACUGCAUAUAUAGAAUUCCUGAUAGUAUAAACCAAUGGUUGAGAAGAUCUAGGUGUCAAAGUUGGGCCAAAAACUAUACCAAGCCUAAGAGACCUAGAUAACAAACACUCAUUGAAGGACUUUUCCAGCUCAUUGGAUCAUUAUAGACACAACUGCAUUGUUGACCUUUGGAACUACUGUCGUCAAGUCAGCAUUGGCAUAGCACAAAGGAUCCAUGGCACACUUAUGAAACAUUGAACAAUUAGUUGCAGUGUAGCAUAGGCUUUGCGUAUCUAGCAUAGAAAAUUCCUGGACCAAAACGACAAGCUCUUCCUCUACUCAGCUUGAAAUCACCUCCCUAUAGCUUCUCUUGCUUACAACUCCCCCAUGGUUUCAAACUCUUUUUCUCAGUUCUUUCCCACUCUCCCUCAUGCUCUGUUUUCGCCCGCAAAAUCUUGCUUCACAGAAUCAGCCAACCCACAACUAUCUUCCCAACUAUUUUGAAAUUAACUCCCUAUUUUCACAUUCUCUCAAAAACUUCCCUUUGUUUCAACUCCCUCUUUUUUUUUCUCCCUCCUUCACCUGGAUAUCUCCUAUGUUUUCUUUGCUCUAAAUCCCUCCAUACCCUCUACAGCUCCUCACGUUUUCCUUCUUUCUCAAGCUUUCACCAGUUCUCCUGCUCUUGGUUCAGCAAAGACAUCACCACCAGCUCCAUUGCUUCAACCACCACCAUAGCAAGGUGGUCACGUCCUUCGCCACAUCUCCCAUGCAACCCACCUGGAAGCCAUCCCCCGCUCUAAAUGAAAUGUCUAGCCAACCUCUCCGGGUAUGAGAAAAAUCCCUUGGUCCAAGAGGGGUCUAUAGUUAUGUUUUUGUGAACCCCGUAUUUAUGCUCAUGCGCUUCCACUCGAUGGCGAACUUGUUUUUUUACUUGAAAAUGAUUUAUUUUUUUACAAAAUAACUUAGAGUUGCCACUUAUUUUUGUUUUAUUUUUUAAAGGAAAACAAAAUAAGAAAGAAAACCAUAAAUGUGACUCCUUAUUUGGAAAAGAUGGUAUGUGAAAAAUCGAGUGGGAUCUAGGGUCAGGUUACUUAUUGGGAAGGUACGACAGAAACCGUAGCACCCCUAUAAGCCCCUAAAAUGGGUCUUUACUAAAUAAAAUGAAGCAAGUGUGACAAUUGAUUAAUUAAACAUGGAUACCAAAAGAACAUCAAUCUAAAAAUAAUUGAAUGAACAAGAGAGGUAAAGAGUGUACUCGAGUAAUGAGUUGAUUGCUUCAUGGAAAAUAAAGGUUAGUAAACGAACAUAGGAUAAUCACAUGUGUUACAAAGCAAAUCAAUCAAGCACGAUAAUCAAUCAGUCAAUGAAAAUAAAAACAUCACUGAUGUUGGGCCCCUACCAAAGCCCGAUUUAUUUUUGCAUGAAUUAAUUCCAUAAAUUCCAUUACUUGGAAUUAUAGAAUUUGAUUCAUGCUUAUUUUAAAACAUUUUUAAAAAUUAAGGAAAAUGUAAAAAUUGCUUGUCGAAGUGGCAGCAACUUUAUUUGAAAAUGGGAUUUUUGGUAAGCUUAAAAAUUCUAAGGAUGUAAAAUUGAAGAAUUAAAUUUAUUUGAAAAACUAGAAUUGGGAAAAUUAUUUUGCAAAAUGGGGUUUGGGAAAUUAUUUUUAAAAUAAAAAAUGAAUAAAUGAAAGAAAGCCACGUGGUUACUAGGGUUGCAUGCCAAAGAUGGCCAUGCAAAUUGGAAACACAUAAGAGUGGGCUCAGGGUGGAGUGAUGCUGGCAAAAACGAGGGCUUAUUCUUUUGAGUAUCGUCUUUCAUCCUGUUUUCUCUACUUGAUAUGCUAGAAUACUCCCAUUACUCAUGAUAACUGAAAGUUCCAUAUUGAGAAGGUGAGCAAGCACGGGGGACAGUUAAUGUAACAGCCAUUUGCAAUGCAGCCUUGGACUCCUCACUGUAUUCUCUCUUUAAAGUCUCAUGCCUCUCCAUUUUCUAUUUUGCUGGGAUCUCCAUGAUCUUAUCUUUUCCUAGUAUAAAAUCUGGAGCUCUUUGGGCUUCUCUCUCUAUCCAAAUGAUAGCAUGGUUGGAAGUGGCAUUACUAGGAAGAACAAUAUGCUCAAACCUCCCAUCUACAAGUACAACUAUCCUCAUAAUCGGGGGAAAUCUUCCCAUCCUGAAAAGCUUUAUCUCAACAAUAUGAUAGAGGCGACUAGGUGCAUACAACCUCUUAGGAUCUCUGAGCAUCUUCUCUUCAAGGGUGUAUAUAUCUCUCAUGCAUUUUAGGCAUGAUAAGCAUGGCAAAUAGAACAGUGACUUAAAAAUGUCUUCCAAGGGGGUGGCUGUCCGAGGUAGAAAGUCAUACUGGAGCACAACAGAGUUGAUGAGAUCUACAUAUCUCACUGCCAAAUUUAACGAGAUGCACCUUGCAGGUGCAAUUGCAUAGCACCUAAUCCUCUUCCGGUCAAUAUUGGCCAAUUUAUCCUUAUUAUGCACCAUCACCAUUGUCAAUAGUGCAAUCACCCCUGAUUCGAGGGGAUGACCAGUAAAAGCCAAAGUGUAAUUUGGAUACUUCUCCACCAAUUCCCUUUAAACAUCAUAUUCUGUAUCCAAAACUCACUCAACUGCCCUCAAAAGCCCAUCAUGCAAGGCUCAAUAUUGUGUGAGAAAGAGUGCACCAUGCACAUGGGAGCUUGUUUCUCAGGUGGGUCUCUUAAGGCACCAUAAUUUUCUAUUAGGUGAGGGUUUACCAUUUGCGUGUUGCACUUGGCACCCAGAAUUCCUGACUCAAGCAGCGGUUUCUAGAAAUACAAACACCUCUUAUCAACAUACAACCUCGCAUUGACAUUGUCUAAUGCAUUGAUAAUGACACUCAAAUUCUCCCAAAAUGCAUCAUUAAACACAUUCUCUGUCUCAAAGCCCACACGAUUUUGCAAGUGGAGACUAGGAUUUAUUGUUUGAGCAAUAGAAGCAACAAUAGUGGAUUAAGCCUGCCCAAUGUUCCAAUUACGGAAGAGGAACUGCCUACUAAGGUUACUUUUUCAAUCACAUCAUCAUGAGUAAUCGUUAGCUUCCCUUGAUUGCCAUAUGAAACUCCCAUCAGAGCUACAUUUUUAAGAACUCACAACCUAGCGCACCAGAUCCCACCAUGAGCACUACAACAUCCUCUAGUUUCUUUUAUAGCUUAGACCCAAACACCGAGAUCUAUGCAUCAUAACGACUAUUCAAUGGUUUGAAAUCAUUGAAAUCUGGUGCCUCUGUAGGAAGUGACUCCAUUGAGACGAAGUAGAAGAACUGAAAAAGUGGAUGAAACUUUCCAAAGCAUGCCUUCACAACCUCCUGUCCCCACAAUACCACCAAACAUAGCAGCCAUGGGAUUUAAUACCGUCCCUUCAAGUCCAAUAGCCAGAAGCUCCACAGUUGCAGGGCCCAUGGAUGAUGCAAAGUCCAACUGGUCCCACUUCACAAGCUCUUCUUCACAUAAACUUCAAUAGUGCAAUGAUAUAAUCAAUCCCUGGAAGACUGAACAAUUCCUGCUUGUUCUAAACCGCGACUGCCAUCAACUUUGAUUUGUUUCCAUGUUUAUGGAUGUAGUUAUAAGCCUUGGUCACCAAAGCCAAACCAAGAUCUUCCUUUUUUUUAAGAGCAGCUUCUAUCUUAGGGUCACCAGAAUGAUUGCAGGCCCAAUCCUGACCAUGACCAACAAAAAUCUGAAUAGCAAAAACACCAGCUUGAGGAGUAGCUGCAACUUGACAAAAACUUCAUGAUAAUGCCAUGUGUGUCAUAAGCAAGAUGAGCAUCCACUUCAAUUGACACUCUACCAGGAACUAGUUUCAUAAGGUCGCUACCAAUGUUUACCAAAGCCUUAUUCAAGAAGCAGGACAUUCGAGCAUUGGGGCUUUCCAAUCCAUAACACACUAAAUCUACCAAUGCAGUCUCCACUACGCUCUUAAAAAUUGUAUCGAGCAAGUUGCAAAUGCCUAAGAGAAGUGAGGAGCUAAUAGUAGCAGUUAUUGGUGAAAAUCUCUUGAAAUCAUCGAAAAUGACGGUGUCUGGAAUGAUCUCACUUAAGUCUCUAGAAGUUGAGAUCAAAUUGAGGCGUAGCGAAUCGAGCUAAGAACCCUAGUCUCCCCUCCUGACGCGAAGAAAAGGAGAGCACUGAUGCACACCAUGGACAAGUAAGAAUAUGGAUAUUUGAUAGAAGCUUUGGAGGGAUUUUGGGUGGCCAUGCAAAUUGGAAGCAUGCAUGUGGGUUUGAGGUAUACCAAAGUGGGACUGCAUUGUUGUAUCUCAUGCUAAACCCUCAUUUGCAUUCUACCCUCUUCUAUGGUUAAUUUCUGCUUUAGAGCUUGAUAAACCUAGAUGAUAUUUCCUGCCAAUUUUGGAGACCCCAUUGAGAAAUACUUCCUCUUCAUCAAUCAAAAUAUGCUUACCAAGUGUACUUGAUCCAAACUCAUUCCCAAAUUAUCUCUCUGAUUUAUGAUCUUCAAAGGUUUUACAUGAAGGAAGCCCUUCAUAGCAUCCCCUUUCGUCCACUAGACCUGAUUUUGAUUAAAACAUUCCUCAUUCAGCAAGUUUGUUUGAUCUUUAGGUCCUACAUGUACCACUGCAGGUACUACAUUUUCUUUCAUGCAAUUCUUAGGAAACACAACCUUCAGAGCAUCGUCUCUAACAAAUCUAGCCUUGACCCUUCUAGUUCCAUCAGACAAAAGGCCGAAUAUCCUUAGUUUGUGUCAUUCCUUGAUGCCUAACUCAGAAAUGAUUCCAAGAACAGUCAUCCCCCAUAUUUGGCUUCAUAGAAGGACUCUUUUAUCACAUUCAGAUGACUCAUUCUAUCGUGGCCUAUGUUGGGACGUCAUUUGUUUUAUCCGGGCAGGGUCGUGGAGUAUUUUUAGCUCUGUGUCAGUCAGGGGCAAUACAGAGUGGCCUCCCCAGGAUUCGAACUCGGGUGGUGACAAGGCUCUUACCCCUUAUGUUUGCCCUCCUGGUACCAUCUGAGCGCCCAGAUGGUACCAGGAGGGCAAACAUAAAGGGUAAGAGCCUUGUCGCUACCCGAGUUCGAAUCCUGGGAAGGUCACUCUGUGAUGCCCUUGACUGGCAUAGAGCCAAAAAUACUUCGCGGCCCUACCCGGAUAAAACAAAUGACGUCCCAACAUAAACGUCGGCCUUUUUUGCUCUGGUGCCCAGCUGUACCACCGAACUGUGCCAGACGGGGGCAUCACAGCCGGAAUGGGCUGGACAACGCAGAGUCUUAUGGGGCCAUUUGUUUAUUUGGCCCUUAGAGGGUGACGUCCCCAGGAUUCGAACUCAAGACUAAGGUCUUUUUGGUUGCCCUCCUGGUACCAUUUGGGCUAGUCCACAAAGACUUUGCGCUCUGUGCGGGCAAAUGUGAGGUCUCCGGACCCGAGCAUCCCACAAACUAGAGCAAAAAAGGCCGACGUUUAUGUUGAGACGUCAUUUGUUUUAUCCGAGAAGGGCCGCGGAGUAUUUUUGGCUCUAUGCCAGUCAAGGGCAUCACAGAGUGGCCUCCCUAGGAUUCGAACUCAGGUGGCGACAAGGCUCUUACCCCUUAUGUUUGCCCGAAGUAUUUUUGGCUCUGUGCCAGUUAGGGGCAUCACAGAGUGGCCUCCCCAAGAUUCGAACUCGGGUGGCGACAAGGCUCUUACCCCUUAUGUUUGCCAUCCUGGUACCAUCUGGGCUAGACUGGCACAGAGCCAAAAAUACUCCGCGGCCCUGCCCGGAUAAAACAAAUGACGUCCCAACAGCUUAGAAUUGAAAUUUUAUUUGACAUUUGGAAACCAUCUCCUUAAAAACCCUGAUGCUAGAUAAAACAAAAGGCAUUUCUUCAAAAGAUCGAGCAACACUAGGUUGUAGCAGAUUGCUUCAAUAGAGCUCCGAUCAUUGACUUCUUCCACAGCUGAAUCUAUUGGACCGACCUGAGCUUUCCCAUAAACACCCUGACUCAGAUAGCCAACCCAAACAUGAUACCCAACAUUCCAAAAAUACUAGAAACAAAGGAGAAAGUGAAGAAAAAUAGAGCAUGUACAAAAAAAAAAUAAUAAUAAUACUGUCAAAUCUAGCUCCAUUCCAUAAAUGUCAAUGAGCUUUAAAAGCUGGUGGGAAGGUUUGAGUGAUCUUAACACAUGAACAAUGGCAUAACUAACAUGCAAUGCAUACAAGCGAAACAGAGACCAAGUAAACAUAAAUGGGAAAUAGGCUUAAUACAUUCAAGCGUCAAAACAAACAUCCAAAUAUCAGCAAGAAGCAUGGUAUGACUGUAAAAAAAUGGAGAAUAUAAGGUGUGAGAAUCUCCCUCCCUUGUUCCUCGUUUCCUCUGUAAAAGCUUUCUCCUCUUCCCCAAGCUAUGACUCGACUCUUCUUCAAAGAACACUCAUCUCUCUCAAAUUUUCUUUUUCACUUGCUCCGCGUUUCCUCAACUGAUCCUCUCAAGCCUUUUUCCCUUGCUCCCCAAGCAAUAGAACAUGCUCCUCUAUAACCAACAACAACUACUCUCUUUAGGCAACAUAACACACUCCCCCGUAACCGUCUGCAGCUCUUCCCAUUUCUUUCAAACCACCUCAGAAUAUUCCAUAUGCACGUGUCAUUCUCUCAUUGCAUCUUUAGCCCACUACAGUGAUUCCCUAAUGGCCAAUCUUGAGGCAACACAUGGCUCUAAAGUUCUUCCACCUGGCUAAAUAACACCUGCCAAAAUACACCCCAAAAUGGGGGUCUACAGUUAUACUUAUAUUUAAUUUAUUAAAUAAUUAAAAAAAUGAAUGAUAUAUAUAUAGAUAUAUAUUAUUUUCCAAUAUUUAAACUUUAUAAAUAUUUUUUUUAUCUUAUGUUAUUCAAUAUAUAAAAAUAAUUUAUACAUUAAAUAAUACAUAGAUUAGUAUUAUUUUACAAUAUAUUUUAUAAAUAUUUUUUAGUUAGUUUUUUUUAACCACAAAUUUACCUUAAGAAGAUCAGCAAACAUUAGUUCAACCAGUAAAAUUAAUCCAAUACAAUCAACAAAAACUAAUACUAACCAAGUAUAUUUCAAACGUACCAAUCAUAAUUAAUAACAUAACCUUAGUAUUACCCCAAACUUAUCUUGUACCUACUAUAAGUUUAUAUCCUAAAACGCCAAUUUUCCGGCAAAAACGGGUUUGAGGUCAAGGGUUAAGACUAAAGACUCUAGUUUUAAAACAUGAUUUUACACCCAAAAUUUUCUAAAUAAACCGAUUUUUUUUUUUUUUUUUUUUUUUUUUAUGUUGAUGAGAACGUUAUAUAAAAAGGAUCCAUGUAUAUUACAGAUAUUAACUAGUAAAGAAAACUUAAAAAUAAUUCAAAUAAUUUUCAUUUCCCUAUUUUACCUUUUUACCCCUUUUUACCCCCUAAGGGUAAGAAAAAUACAUAAUACAGAAAUUUAAAUAAAGGCAAAAAAUUUAAUAGAAAAUUCUUACUUUCUUAUUGAUUGCUGAUGAAUUUACAAAGCUGAAGAUGAUGGAGCUUCUUUUUACAAACAACUUUGCACACUAUUGCACACACUUUCUCGGGCACACUUCUUUUCUUUUACUACCACUAAUUUAUAGGCAAAGCAUUUACAAGGGACAGGUGAGAAUACAGGUGAGAAUUAAUUUCAAGUGGUUGGAUGGUAGGAGAAAUAUUUACGGUGUUCAGAGGUUUGGUAUAAAAUAAAUACAAAGACUUUUGACUUUUGAGACAUGUGACUUUUAUUCAUCCGUUCUUCUUCCUUCUUGUCUCUUUCUCUUGUCCUUUUCUUCUCUUUUUAUUACAUGCAUAAUACGUGGCUUGUGGAUGUCUUUACUGCUUCUGAACUUGUACUACCAUAUUUAAUUUUUGUAGUUGAAGACGCAUUUACUGCUUCAAUAUCGUCAUUGCUAACAUCAUCCUUCCAUUGCAUUUUGUAGAUUAUGAUAACUUUCAUCGUCCAGGUUGUCCCAAAAUAAUGCGUCAUCGCUGAGGUAGGAAGAUGGUUCCGGUAUAUCUACACUGAGUUCGGUUAUAAAAUCCUGUUCUUCAGAAGUAAUAAAAGGGUUUGGAACAAUGAUGUGUUCUAAAGGUUUUAUUCUCCAUAUAGACAUGGUUUUUGUUUCGCCAAUGAGAUGAAAUAAUUUAUUUCGGGUUGGUCUAAGAUCAUAGAUUUGAAAAGCUCUAAAGCGAGUAAAAAAUUCUGGAAAUUCAUUUGAA
RNAcentral lists this long non-coding RNA (32684 nucleotides) under Vitis vinifera (wine grape). RNAcentral describes it as "long non-coding RNA (VVIN_LNC000844)". Lineage: Eukaryota; Viridiplantae; Streptophyta; Magnoliopsida; Vitales; Vitaceae. The record is from RNAcentral.